UAUCACCCUGUCCACUGAUAUGUAUCAGCUUCUUGAUGGCUACAACGUUUCCGUCUUUCAGUUGGGCCUUGUAUACAUCACCAAAACCUCCAGAGCCUAUAAGGCUGUCAUUGUGGAAGCCAUUUGUUGCUUCAAGAAGAUCUGCAAAAGUGAGCUUCCGCAGGGGCUUCUCAAAGGUCGCAAGGUUGAUGCUCAAUGCUUCACGUGCUCCAGUUAGCUUCCAGCUAGUAUUCGCUGUCCCUGAAUGUGAAUGGUUGUCGAUAUAGACAUCGAGGACUGAAUCUUUCUUUUUCUUUCUUUU
RNAcentral lists this unclassified non-coding RNA (301 nucleotides) under Hevea brasiliensis (rubber tree). The record is from RNAcentral. Lineage: Eukaryota; Viridiplantae; Streptophyta; Magnoliopsida; Malpighiales; Euphorbiaceae.